ACGCUGGCGGCAGGCCUAACACAUGCAAGUCGAGCGGUAGAGAGAAGCUUGCUUCUCUUGAGAGCGGCGGACGGGUGAGUAAUGCCUAGGAGUCUGCCUGGUAGUGGGGGAUAACGUUCGGAAACGGACGCUAAUACCGCAUACGUCCUACGGGAGAAAGCAGGGGACCUUCGGGCCUUGCGCUAUCAGAUGAGCCUAGGUCGGAUUAGCUAGUUGGUGGGGUAAUGGCUCACCAAGGCGACGAUCCGUAACUGGUCUGAGAGGAUGAUCAGUCACACGGGAACUGAGACACGGUCCAGACUCCUACGGGAGGCAGCAGUGGGGAAUAUUGCACAAUGGGCGCAAGCCUGAUGCAGCCAUGCCGCGUGUGUGAAGAAGGCCUUAGGGUUGUAAAGCACUUUCAGCGAGGAGGAAGGCGUUGUAGUUAAUAGCUGCAACGAUUGACGUUACUCGCAGAAGAAGCACCGGCUAACUCCGUGCCAGCAGCCGCGGUAAUACGGAGGGUGCAAGCGUUAAUCGGAAUUACUGGGCGUAAAGCGCACGCAGGCGGUUUGUUAAGUCAGAUGUGAAAUCCCCGAGCUUAACUUGGGAACUGCAUUUGAAACUGCCAAGCUAGAGUCUUGUAGAGGGGGGUAGAAUUCCACGUGUAGCAGUGAAAUGCGUAGAUAUGUGGAGGAACACCGAUGGCGAAGGCAGCCCCCUGGGUCAAGAUUGACGCUCAUGCACGAAAGCGUGGGGAGCAAAC
This 745-nucleotide ribosomal RNA is filed under the name uncultured bacterium. RNAcentral's name for it is "bacterial SSU rRNA". It matches the Rfam family "Bacterial small subunit ribosomal RNA", at positions 33 to 773 of the family's 1533-position model. The record is from RNAcentral.